AGAGUUUGAUCCUGGCUCAGGAUGAACGCUGGCGGCGUGCCUAACACAUGCAAGUCGAGCGAUUUACUUCGGUAAAGAGCGGCGGACGGGUGAGUAACGCGUGGGUAACCUGCCCUGUACACACGGAUAACAUACCGAAAGGUAUGCUAAUACGAGAUAAUAUGUUUUUAUCGCAUGGUAGAAGUAUCAAAGCUUUUGCGGUACAGGAUGGACCCGCGUCUGAUUAGCUAGUUGGUAAGGUAACGGCUUACCAAGGCUACGAUCAGUAGCCGACCUGAGAGGGUGAUCGGCCACAUUGGAACUGAGACACGGUCUAAACUCCUACGGGAGGCAGCAGUGGGGAAUAUUGCACAAUGGGCGAAAGCCUGAUGCAGCAACGCCGCGUGAGCGAUGAAGGCCUUCGGGUCGUAAAGCUCUGUCCUCAAGGAAGAUAAUGACGGUACUUGAGGAGGAAGCCCCGGCUAACUACGUGCCAGCAGCCGCGGUAAUACGUAGGGGGCUAGCGCUAUCCGGAAUUACUGGGCGUAAAGGGUGCGUAGGUGGUUUCUUAAGUCAGAGGUGAAAGGCUACGGCUCAACCGUAGUAAGCCUUUGAAACUGGGAAACUUGAGUGCAGGAGAGGAGAGUGGAAUUCCUAGUGUAGCGGUGAAAUGCGUAGAUAUUAGGAGGAACACCGGUUGCGAAGGCGGCUCUCUGGACUGUAACUGACACUGAGGCACGAAAGCGUGGGGAGCAAACAGGAUUAGAUACCCCGGUAGUCC
Molecule: ribosomal RNA, 760 nt
Filed under: uncultured bacterium
Lineage: Bacteria
Description: bacterial SSU rRNA
Rfam family: Bacterial small subunit ribosomal RNA
Source: RNAcentral